RNAcentral lists this ribosomal RNA (742 nucleotides) under uncultured Methanoculleus sp. RNAcentral describes it as "bacterial SSU rRNA". It matches the Rfam family "Archaeal small subunit ribosomal RNA", at positions 84 to 831 of the family's 1478-position model. The record is from RNAcentral. Lineage: Archaea; Methanobacteriati; Methanobacteriota; Methanomicrobia; Methanomicrobiales; Methanomicrobiaceae.
UACUGCUCAGUAACACGUGGAUAACCUGCCCUAAGGAAGGGGAUAACCUCGGGAAACUGAGGAUAAUACCCUAUAGGAUACCGAUGCUGGAAUGCCCGGUAUCCCAAAGCUCCGGCGCCUUAGGAUGGAUCUGCGGCCGAUUAGGUCGUUGUUGGGGUAACGGCCCAACAAGCCGAUAAUCGGUACGGGUUGUGGGAGCAAGAGCCCGGAGUUGGAUUCUGAGACACGAAUCCAGGCCCUACGGGGCGCAGCAGGCGCGAAAACUUUACAAUGCGGGCAACCGUGAUAAGGGAACCUCGAGUGCCUGUACGUGCAGGCUGUCUGGGUGUCUAAAACACACCCAAAGAAAGGGCCGGGCAAGACCGGUGCCAGCCGCCGCGGUAAUACCGGCGGCUCGAGUGGUGGCCACUUUUAUUGGGCUUAAAGCGUUCGUAGCUGGGUUGUUAAGUCUCUUGGGAAAUCUGGCAGCUUAACUGUCAGGCGUCUAAGAGAUACUGGCAAUCUAGGAACCGGGAGAGGUGAGGGGUACUUCGGGGGUAGGAGUGAAAUCCUGUAAUCCUCGAGGGACCACCUGUGGCGAAGGCGCCUCACCAGAACGGCUUCGACAGUGAGGGACGAAAGCUGGGGGAGCAAACCGGAUUAGAUACCCGGGUAGUCCCAGCCGUAAACGAUGCGCGUUAGGUGUGUCGAUGACCACGAGUCAUCGAGGUGCCGAAGGGAAACCGUGAAACGCGCCGCCUGG